AUGAACGCUGGCGGCAUGCUUUACACAUGCAAGUCGGACGGGAAGUGGUGUUUCCAGUGGCGGACGGCCACACUGGGACUGAGACAAGGCCCAGACUCCUACGGGAGGCAGCAGUGGGGAAUAUUCCGCAAUGGGCGAAAGCCUGACGGAGCAAUGCCGCGUGGAGGGCUCAACCCUGGACAGGCGGUGAAAACUACCAAGCUAGAGUACGGUAGGGGCAGAGGGAAUUUCCGGUGGAGCGAUGAAAUGCGUAGAGAUCGGAAGGAACACCAACGGCGAAAGCACUCUGCUGGGCCGACACUGACACUGAGAGACGAAAGCUAG
Non-coding RNA from Vicia faba (fava bean), 324 nucleotides. The record is from the annotation of a GenBank genome assembly. NCBI's taxonomy places the organism in Eukaryota, Viridiplantae, Streptophyta, Magnoliopsida, Fabales, Fabaceae.